This 74-nucleotide transfer RNA is filed under the name Candidatus Providencia siddallii. RNAcentral's name for it is "trnJ". It matches the Rfam family "tRNA". Rfam says of the family: Transfer RNA (tRNA) molecules are approximately 80 nucleotides in length. Their secondary structure includes four short double-helical elements and three loops (D, anti-codon, and T loops). Further hydrogen bonds mediate the characteristic L-shaped molecular structure. tRNAs have two regions of fundamental functional importance: the anti-codon, which is responsible for specific mRNA codon recognition, and the 3' end, to which the tRNAs corresponding amino acid is attached (by aminoacyl-tRNA synthetases). tRNAs cope with the degeneracy of the genetic code in two manners: having more than one tRNA (with a specific anti-codon) for a particular amino acid; and 'wobble' base-pairing, i.e. permitting non-standard base-pairing at the 3rd anti-codon position. Lineage: Bacteria; Pseudomonadati; Pseudomonadota; Gammaproteobacteria; Enterobacterales; Morganellaceae. The record is from RNAcentral.
GGCCCUUUAGCUCAGUUGGUUAGAGCACUCGACUCAUAAUCGAUAGGUAACUGGUUCAAAUCCAGUAAGGGCCA